AGUCGAACGGCAGCGCGGGGCAACCUGGCGGCGAGUGGCGAACGGGUGAGUAAAAUAUCGGAACAUACCCUAGAGUGGGGGAUAACGUAGCGAAAGUUACGCUAAUACCGCAUACGCACUAAGGUGGAAAGUGGGGGAUCGCAAGACCUCAUGCUCAUGGAGUGGCUGAUAUCUGAUUAGCUAGUUGGUAGGGUAAAAGCCUACCAAGGCGACGAUCAGUAGCUGGUUUGAGAGAACGACCAGCCACACUGGAACUGAGACACGGUCCAGACUCCUACGGGAGGCAGCAGUGGGGAAUUUUGGACAAUGGGGGCAACCCUGAUCCAGCAAUGCCGCGUGAGUGAAGAAGGCCCUCGGGUUGUAAAGCUCUUUUGUCAGGGAAGAAACGGUGAGUUCUAAUACAGCUUGCUAAUGACGGUACCUGAAGAAUAAGCACCGGCUAACUACGUGCCAGCAGCCGCGGUAAUACGUAGGGUGCAAGCGUUAAUCGGAAUUACUUGGCGUAAAGCGUGCGCAGGCGGUUUUAUAAGUCUGAUGUGAAAUCCCCGGGCUCAACCUGGGAACUGCAUUGGAGACUGUAAGGCUAGAGUGUGUCAGAGGGGGGUAGAAUUCCACGUGUAGCAGUGAAAUGCGUAGAUAUGUGGAGGAAUACCGAUGGCGAAGGCAGCCCCCUGGGAUAACACUGACGCUCAUGCACGAAAGCGUGGGGAGCAAACAGGAUUAGAUACCCUGGUAGUCCACGCCCUAAACGAUGU
RNAcentral lists this ribosomal RNA (755 nucleotides) under uncultured Undibacterium sp. RNAcentral describes it as "bacterial SSU rRNA". It matches the Rfam family "Bacterial small subunit ribosomal RNA", at positions 60 to 812 of the family's 1533-position model. The record is from RNAcentral. Lineage: Bacteria; Pseudomonadati; Pseudomonadota; Betaproteobacteria; Burkholderiales; Oxalobacteraceae.